CCUACGGGUGGCAGCAGUGGGGAAUAUUGCACAAUGGGGGAAACCCUGAUGCAGCGACGCCGCGUGAGUGAAGAAGUAUUUCGGUACGUAAAGCUCUAUCAGCAGGGAAGAAAAUGACGGUACCUGACUAAGAAGCCCCGGCUAACUACGUGCCAGCAGCCGCGGUAAUACGUAGGGGGCAAGCGUUAUCCGGAUUUACUGGGUGUAAAGGGAGCGUAGACGGCAGCGCAAGGCUGGAGUGAAAUCCCAUGGCUUAACCAUGGAACUGCUUUGGAAACUGUGCAGCGAGAGUGCAGGAGAGGUAAGCGGAAUUCCUAGUGUAGCGGUGAAAUGCGUAGAUAUUAGGAGGAACACCAGUGGCGAAGGCGGCUUACUGGACUGUAACUGACGUUGAGGCUCGAAAGCGUGGGGAGCAAACAGGAUUAGAUACCCGGGUAGUC
RNAcentral lists this ribosomal RNA (440 nucleotides) under uncultured bacterium. Its description in RNAcentral is "partial 16S ribosomal RNA". It matches the Rfam family "Bacterial small subunit ribosomal RNA", at positions 338 to 795 of the family's 1533-position model. The record is from RNAcentral.